This is a long non-coding RNA of Oxyura jamaicensis (ruddy duck), 1363 nucleotides long. RefSeq lists it as uncharacterized. The record is from RefSeq and is a predicted model, not a curated record. Lineage: Eukaryota; Metazoa; Chordata; Aves; Anseriformes; Anatidae. The transcript has 2 exons.
AUCCAGGCUCAUAACUACGACCCCGAGAUCUACAGCAGGGCCCGGAGCAGGAUGGAGCUGUCUGACAGUGACUCUGCCCGAACUGCAGCCUCCCUCGCACACCGUACUUUUCCCUUGGCUAUGGCCAGCUGGCAGAGCUUUUCAGGACUGGCUCGGGCUGAGGUCAUCGGAAAGGUAAGGCCAGUGCUGGGGUUCUGCACUGUGACGCUGCUACUUCGCUUUUCCGAAAGGAAAAGGCUCUUCCAAAGCCUCCCUUGCCAACCUUAGCAAGUCAGAGAUACUUUGGAUAUUUUAGUGCCCUGUUCCUCUGUCUUCCUUUAUCUGAUGGGAAGUUCAGGCCUGUCCUGGUUCGCAGCUUUCACUGUUACCACAGGAACAAAAAGGUGCUGAGUCCCCACAGCCCUGCUUAGGAGACCACGGGUAGUGGUGUUGAAGUGAUGCCCAUGGGAUUUCUCCCUGCAAGGACAGAAGUGCAAGAUCCAGUGUCAGUCUCAUCCUCACUGAAACUGGUGACAGUGCGGGCACUGAUGCCACUUGGAGUAAGCUGGCUCAGCAUUUUCCCCAGCUCCUCAGAGGAAAGGAAAUGAAACAAUGUGCCUAAAUUAAGGUGGUGCUUUUGUCAGCGCCUGAACUGAGCACUUCCACCAACAUCCCUCGUGCUGACCACAAAACCUUAGUUAAAGCAGGGAGGACCGCUGAUCCCAGCACAAUUCUCCUCUACUGACAAGGCAGAAAGCUGAACUGCUGUAUCUCAACAUGAGCUGCAACAGGAUUUACCCAAACAGCGACAGCCUGGGCCCUCGACAGCAUUUCAGUGCCCUGCUCUCACUGGCGUCGCACUGCAAUGCGAGGACAAUCCCGUGCUCUUGCAAAACACAUACUUUGCAUUUUCCAGUACAUUCCUGGGUAUGGUCAUUUCUGGAAAGAAAACAUCACAUGUUAGCUAUGAUCCUUCUGAGCAGGAAAACACAACCUGAAUUCUGGCCUUCUGAAUACAAAAGGAGCUCAGAUGGAGGCUCAAGUAUUUUCAAGGGCUGCUCUCGCAGUUGUUGUGGCUUACCCUGGGAAUUACUAGAAGGUAUUCCAAAAGCAAUUGUCUGGAAGAUCUGGAUUUCACUCUAGCUUUUUGCAGAACAAAUGACCUAAGAAGCUGUAUGCUGCAUAAAGUAAAUGUCAAAAAACAGAAAACAAGAGCUCCCAUUGCAAGUACCUGACUGAUGGUAAAAACGACUGUGUGUGUUCUCAGUAUGUAAAAUACAAUUUAUUGUAUUUAGGCCAUUCAUAAGUAUCAACACAAUGUAGCAUGUUUGGAAUAAAUAUCUUACCAAUAAAUACUAUCUAAACAUUAAUAUUAAUCUUUUGA